UGCGCGACUGCACUCCAGCCUGGGCAACAAAGUAAGAGUCUGUCUCCAAAAAAAAACACUUUUGUAUUAAAGACACGGCAUUACAAUUUUACAGUUAAAGAAUUUUUUGCUGUGCUUAAACAUCUUCUUGGCCUGGAUUUUGCUGCCAAGCCUUGUAGUCUUUGUAGUCUGUAUAUACAGAGUAAUUAUUUAAACAGGGGCCCCAUAUAUGUGACACACUUCUACAAUGACUCUAAUAUAUUUUUGAUUAUGUCAGUUUUAAUUUGUUUAGCUAUUCUUUUCAGAAAAUGGCAGUAUAUGCCUGUUGAUGAUGUUACUGUAUUUCAGAGGUACUACAUAUCUUUAAAGAUGGUAGUUUUGGUCUAGCAAAUCUAUGUCCUUUCAAAAAGCAAUAAAUGUGAAUCUCUGAUGUGUAACAACUUUGUGAUAAUAAUAAAGAAAGUUUAUUCUGUAUGAAAUAGCAUUGUAUCUUAAUGUUCUCUAGAGACAAUCUUUAAGGUUUUACUACUAUUGACCAAUAAUUACUUACAGUUCAGCUGUGAGAGCUCACAAAAAAUGACUUUAUUACAUGGCCAGUUUCUAUUUCUGUUAAUUAACAUUGUUUUAAUUCUAGAGAUAUUUUCAAUUUUCAUCUUCUACCAAGAACUUAAUGCACUAAUGAUAAACUUAAGCAGUUUAGGAUCAUUCAUUUAUUAGAGCAUACAGUCUGGGGCCGGAUGGAAAGAGAGCUCCAUGAAUGUAUGAAUGCAGUGCACUCUUACCAGAGUCCUGCAAUAGUGAUAUAUACGAGAAGGAUGGUAAAGGUGAUUAAUUUUAAGUGGGAGAGGAUAGUAGGGUGAGAGGAUGCAUAUUAGAGGCAUGGCUUUAUCAUGGAAGAAUUCUACUAAUACUUCAAAGACACAUGGGACUUUUCCAGGCAGACAUGGUCAGGGAAGAGUUUUCUAGGGGUAAGAAGUGGUCAUGGAGGCAUAAAAGUGUGAUAUAGUCAAUAAAUAAAAGGAGUUCAGUACUACUGGAUGAUAUAAAAGGAAGAGUAGUGACAGAUAAAGAUCAAGAAAUAGGUCAAAACCAGAUAAUGUAGUCAAGCAGAAAGAAAAUCAGCAUAAAUAUGGUUUUCUAAUGCUAUUGAUGAUUUUAUGGCAGCCAGUGUCUAAGGUAACAAUUCCUUCUGCUUUUGUGUGUUUUUUACUUUUUCACUAGUGGAACAGUUACAGUUUGAAUUUCUUUUCAUUUUCUAGCAAAGCCUUUCCAAAAUGUUUAUUGAUCAUUAUUUUCAUAAAGUCUUUAUGAUAAUUAGUUAAGCAAUAAUUGCCAGUCUAAUAGCACUAAUAGCCAGUGUUACUUAAUGAGACUAAAAAGGUCUCUAAAUAUUUGGUAAUAUUUAUACAUAUGUAUCAUUUUUUAAAGUGCAACUGAGAUUUUCAUAUUUCUUAUGAUAGACUCAUGAUAGACUUCAUUCUUGCACAACAAUCCUUUAAACUUUACCUAUGAGGUACUUUUAUACAGUUAUUGUCUUUACACAUUAUUACAGUUUUACAUGUUAUUGAUGAAUAAAAGACUUUUGUCCUAGUCUUAUAAUACAUUGGCUUCAUGGCAACAACAACAACAACAAAAAUACCAAAAGAAAGCAUUACCACCAUCUUCUCUGUUUUGUCAAAUUUAGAUGCCAGUCUGGACAGGUGGGUCAUAUCACAGUGCCGGAGAAGAACCAGAACUCAUCAGGGCAUGGACAAACUGCAGUAUUCCCUAAAAACAACCAAACUUGAAGUUUGCUUCUAUCUUUAUCAACUCCUCACCUAUGCUGGAAUAGGGAUUUUUUUUUUUCUGUAUUAAAACCCUGUGAUGUUGCAGUUAGUAAUGAUUGUGCACUGCUCUACUCACAUUAUUGUUCACCACACCUAUUACAUAAUGUACUAGUUUUAUUGUAGUCUUUGUUUAAAUAUGAAAACAACUGUAGAUUCAGAUGCUGUUUGGGGAUUUCAAAGAGCAAAGAAAAAAAGGAUAUAAAGCUGAAAUUGGUCUUUAAACAUGUUUGACAUAGGAAUUGAAGUGCUUUUCAUUCAUUCUUUUCAUAGACUAAACAUAGGCCUUUUGAUAUUAAAUUUUUAAUAACUAUAAUGAAAUUAAAAUUAAACUAUGGGUCACAAAUCUAUCCAUUUUCUUCUAACUGCUGUUUCUCUCAAACACUAGAAUACUGCCUAUUUAAAUCUUAACUUUUGCUUGCCAAACCACUGUUACCGUCCAUCUGUUCAUGCCAAUUGUAAAGAAGGUUCAGUUUUUAGUGAAGCUUUGCAUUUCACAUAAGGUAUGUGAAGUGAAAUUUCACAAGGGACAUGAUGGAUCCUGAUUCUUAGUGAUAAACCUUUGGGGCCAUCAGGGUUGGCAUAUGGUCCACUAUGAUAUGAAGGCUUGGGUUCCCUGGCUUCACUUCUUUGGCGUGAAGCUGAUAAAACCUGGCUCUUGAGUAUUAUUUCACUGGACACCAAUCAUGGGCAGCAGGAACUGCCCAUUUAACUCUCUGUGGGAAGGAAGCCCAGACAGCAUUCACAAUGGUACCAUUGUCGAGUUGCAAACUGCUCUGAACAGCUUGACAGCACUAGGGAGGAGGGGAAGGGGUUGCUUUACUAAUUGCUGUUCAGAAGAGAAGCAGCAAAAAUAGCUGUUGCAGAACUGAUGUUUCUACAUUUACUUACUCUCUUGAUAAGAAUGUUGACUUUUAUUUAGCACAUAGCUGCUAUCAAAAAAAAAAGCAAAUGAAUAUAUUUAAGCAGCCACCUGUAGUAAUUCCUUGUUAACAUGCCAUUAUCUAUUUUUAGCCCAUCAUAUUAUUGCAGAGCAAAAGUCAAUUUUGUCUUAAUGAUUUUUUUAUUAGAUGAAAAUAAGGAAUUUUUUAUUUUCAUAAGAAUUUAACUGAGGUGAAGUGGAUAAAAUUAUCACAAUUCAUAUGUCAGAUAAGGUUAUAAAUUUGGUUUAAUUUACACUUUGCUUUUUAGGAUUCCUGAAUGCCAUCUGAAUACAUAUAAACGAUAUUAGUAUAGAAAUGCAAACUAACUUUCUACAUAGCACAAGUGCUAAAAUAAUCCACUAAAGAUAAACUAGUCAGCACAUCUUAAAGUUAAAUGCCAGAUUUAUUAUUUGAGUAGCUCAUAACUAUUUCAGUCAUGUAUGAUUAUCUCACUCAUUGAAUUCCCUCUGGUUGGAUUUUUUUUUUAAUGUGAGGGUUGUUUCCUUUUUUAUAAAAUAUUGUAUGCCCUGAUAUUUAUAUAAACACUCCUCUUGACCUGUUUUCUUCUAGUCAGCUUUGUCAGCCAGCAGUUGGGUAGUUCUGUUGCAAAAAAACAAUGAUCUACAACCUGAAAAAAAAAUUAGUGCUUAUUUUCGGACUCCAGGGAUUCUGACCCCAUAGAUGAUUCUUUUUUUCUUUCGGCUGAAAUGAAAUUGACUAAAUUAUAUUGCAGUAACAAUGAUUUAUGUAGCAUCUUCUUAAAUAGGAUAAGGAAGAGAUAUUUUAAGAAAACUUUUAAAACAGUAAAGUUUUGUAACAGGAUGCUCUUGCUAGAUUUGGGGAAGUUCAAGUGCAUGUUUUGUAAAAUUAGAAAAUCUGUAACAUUUACUAGUAUUUCGUAUCUUGUGUUCUCUUAAGUAAUUUUAGUAAAUGGGCACACCAGUGCAGUAUUUCAAAAACAGUAAUUCAUUGAAUGCCCAUUCUUCCUUUUACUGCAGAAUAGAUUAUAUUUAAGUCAAGAUUAAUGGAUAGAUUUUGAUGUUAAAGUCCAGUGUCUAAGCCUGUCAUUCCCUGGGGGCAUAUAGUGCAUUAGUUUAAGCCAAUGUACUGCUUAUCAUAGAUUCUAUGACACUGUCUUAAAUGACAGUUCACUGUACUUUGUUUCUACUUACUAUAAUAAUGAAAUCACUUUUUUUGUAUUCCCAAUAAUUAUAGCACUUAAACAAAAAUCUUAAUUAAAUUAGUGCACAUUUAGUUAGAGAUAACACUUAAGUAAUUGUACACUGUAAAAUUUCACUUAUUUGGUUUUUGUUUUGUUUGGUUUAUUUUUGGGUUUUUUUUUGUUUUGUUUUUUUCCUUUUUGCAGUCUUCUGACAGGGUCCAAGUUUAGUAUUUUGCUCAAAUACUUUUGUUUCUUCAACUUUAAUGUACUAAAAAUUAUGUUCUUAAAAAGAACAACACACAAGAUUGUUUCUAGUAUCCUCCCAAUGUUUUUUUAAACUCUUAAGCUAAUACUAGUGAUUUUCAAGCAGUUCUCUGUUGACUUUGAAAGUCUCAUUAUUACUAAAUUAAUGAUAAUGUUUUCAAGUAGAUCUUUCCAAGAAUGAGAGUACAUUAUGAUUUCACUAAAUUUGAAAUCCAGAUAACCUAGUGUUUCUGUUUUGCUUCAUAAAACUUUCAUGAAAGUAGAAUGUGUGUAUAUAUAUAUAUAUAUAUACACACACACACACAUACAGAUAUUGGAUAAUCAUAUUAGUGCAUUUUGAAACCCACCAAUGAUUAUUGGAUUAUUAAAUCAGGAAGGAUUUUCAGAGCCUUUAGGUAAGUUUAAAUUUUUAAGCCUAUUUAUUUAAGGUUAAUCUUUUUAAAUGUAUUUACACAAACUUUGGUGGAAUUGGGCUUAUCAACUUUUUACUUAAUGUUUUCAUUUAGUAAUUGACUGAUUUAUGAGCAAUUAUAUGUGUUCCAAAUUUUAUUCAACUCCAGCUUUCAAUUUCUGUAUCCUCACACUGCCUUAGCACCUGUUAUGGAUUUUGAGUCAUCUGGCAGCCCAUGGGACUUAGAUAAAGAAGUACCAGGUGUCCUGCCUGUCUCCUAAUUGAGACGCAGUGAAAACAAUAUAGACUUGGCAAUAUGGUUAAAAGGAUGGAUUAAAGCCCAGCUUUGUCUGCUCUGACAAAUCACAGCUUUUCCUUCAUGGUGUAGAUAGUAUCAACCACUGAAGAAUUUCAUGAAUAUAAGGCAUCAUAAAAAUAGACAAUAAUUUGUCAUAACCUGUUGCAGACUUUCAGAAGAAUUUUUAUUAACAUAGUGUAAAUAAGCAAUAUUAAUAACGAGAUUCAUGCUAUUUGUUUAGGGAAAUUUUAUUUUUUACUACAUAUAAACUAGACUGCAUGUUUCUGGAAGAAGUUAGUUACAGUAGGAAAGAUGGAAUAUCCUUCCCUCUGCCAGAUCCUAAUUUAUCAGAUUUUGCUUUAUAAGAGAGGGCCAGCAAAAUCAAAGGGCACAGUAGAACAAAAAUUUUUCUCACAAGGAAGAUUCAAACUCUAAAUCCAGUCCUAGGAAAGUUUCAACUACAUUUGCCCCAAAAAGGUUUGCCUUUAUGGAACCACAUUGGGAUUAGAGGAAAGGGGCGUCAGUGUGACAGACACCUCCUAAUCUACUAUCAAACCAACUUUAUUCACUCCUUCUAGAAGUUGUAAGCAAGUCAUUGAAUACUACUGUGCCCUGUGUUGGGUGCUGAAGACAUAAAGAUAAGAAGACAUGUUCUCUGUCCCCAUGGCACUGGUCUCAUCACUAGUCUGUAAACCACAAAAUGGACAAUUAAAAUUUCAAUAACGUAAGUAGAAUGCCUGGAUUACUAGUCUCUAAAGUGAAGUAGUAGCAUUGAAGGACCACCAAAUCUGCCCCCAAGAAUCAGGGACAAAACUGUUUCUUAAGAAAGUGUACUUAGUGGAAGAACAAGCCUAAGGAAAGAGGCUCUCUAAAGGGGGCCUGGGAGGUGGGUGAUUUGUAGCAAUCUUCAAGAUGUGUGAUAUGGAAACUUACUAUAGCCAGUUGCAGGCUACCAACCUUACAAACUUUAUAAGUAUUGAAUAAUUGACUCUGAUCUGCUCAACUUAAGUAGUACUUAGAUUUCAGCUACUUAAGUUACAUCUCAAUUACUACUUAAGUUGUACUCUCAAAAAAAAUUUUUUUAAAUCAGUAGGCAACAUUUCUAAGUAAUUAUUGGAAUGCUUCCUCCUCCUAUGAUUACUAUUCUUGGAAUCUUCUCUAGAGAAAGGAGAUAAAAUUCCUAAGUGCUAAAACUGCAAAGAAGCUAUAGAAAUGUAUGAGUGUAGGGAAGUGCUUACUAAAUUAAGAAUUUCAGAAUGGGCCUUAAAUCCCUGAGACUAGGCCAUUGAGCACAGAUAUAAACACUUUAUACUUGCCUUUAUUUUAAAAGGAGUCAAUUUUUUUUCUUGUUAAGGAAAAACAACAUGAAACCUGAACUUAGGAGGAAAAUAAGCAAUCAUGCAAAUCUUUGAUAUCUGCUUACAAAUUGUAAUUUUUAUAAUUUCUUUUUGUGAAAAUUAUACUUUGUAUUAAUUCUUGUGUGUAACAUGUGUAUACACAUAUAUACACACACACAUUUCCAUUUCUUUCGGACUAGUCACAAAUUACAUUUGAACUAAAUGUUUCUACAACCUACUGGUUGUCCCGUGGAAUUACAAAACUGAAAGCUUCCCCUUUUCUAACAGUACAAACAGUUCAGAAUUACCAGAUUAAUAAAAUUAUUGUGGAGAAUGAAAAGCAUUGCUUCUUUAAAACCAGAUCUACUUUUAUAUAUUCUUCUAUGUUAAUAAAGUUGAUAGUACAUAAUGUUCUGCAGUAUCUUUUCUCUUUUUCCCCAUGAGAAAUCAGUUUCUUUGCAUCAUAAUAAGUCAAAACCCUCUGUACAUGUAACAAGAAAUAUUAGUGGUAUUAUCUUUUUUUUAUUAGUGGUAUUAUCAAAGAGUUCUUGCACAUGAAUACAGGUAUAUUUCUUAAACUGACAUCAAAAAUUGUCCUCCUAGAGACAGCACCUGCUAUAUACAAAUAUAUGAGCCAAAGGCCAAAAUAAACUUUUCAAGACAGAUGUAGGGACACUUUUGAUUUACCCUGUAUUUGUAACCUUUAUCUUCAGCACCCUAUGAAGUGAGUAGGUGAUGGUAUCCCCAUUUAACAUACAGAUGUAUCCCCAUUUAACAUACAGAUAAAUUAUGGCACAGAAAAUUUAUGCUUAUCUUUCCUGGCUCAGUCUGAAAUUGAACCCAUUUUCUUAAUAGCUGGUCUUGAAGUUUAAAAUCAAGAGUAGUAACUUAAAAUAUGUAAUGAUGUUAACUUAAUGAAGUACAGAUUAGAUUUAAACUGUUCUUUAUGCUAUAGAUGUUUUGUUCCCUUGUUUUUAGAAUAAUAAUAUUCCUACCCCCCCCCACCCACCUCCGAACCCCGUUUUCCUUUUGUAGAAAGCGGAAGGAGGAUUAGUGGAUAAUUAUAUUGCUGUGAUUGCAUCACCUGUGUGUUAUUUUUUUUUUUUUGAUUGGCUAGUUCUGUAUUAAAGAUUCCUACUAGUUAAAAGUCUCCCUCAUCCAACAGUUUUUAUUAGAUAAUUUUGCCUUGAGUUGUUUUACAACCUAAAUCUGCUUACCUCAACUUAGUUUUGUACUUUAAAUUUUUGUUCUGAAUUUUUUUAUUAGUUUACCUUCACCUUUUUUAUCAUCCUUCCUAUUUCAGUUUUUUAAUUCCAAUGCCAAUGGCAACAUGCACUCACCAUAUAAAACUAUAGCUUGAGUUGUCCUCUUGUUGCCAGCUGUGGAGUUUGUGUGCCACUCAAUGUAUAUGUACUAAUAACUCUUCCCUAGAGAGAUGUCUUUUAUGGAAUAAGUGUCUAAGCUUUUAUAAGGAGAUACAGGAAUUAACUGCUUUGGAUGAUUACAAUUGCAGAUUCUAAAGCACUGUAUGGAACUUUAAUCAUCUCAAUCACAAAAAGCACCUCGUUGUGGACUCAAGGCUAUGGUUUAAGUGCUUAGAGUUUAUUAUAUUUCCUUCAUACAUGUUUUCUGAAGUAAAAAAAGAUGUAAGUCCUAUAGACUGGGUUGGCUUGUUUUCAUGUUGUUAUUUAUUUAUUUGGCUACAUCACACUGGGAAACUUACAAAGAUCAUUUAGAUUUUAGAAGGUGAGUUAGCUUAGAUAUGAUUAUUUUACCAAGCUAACAGUGUUUCCUGAAGGUGGCCCCCAAAAAGGAAACUUACCUAAUAAGUGAUGAGCACUGUAGUUUUUUCAUUUAAAUUCAACCAUUAAUGAUUGCUUCCCUUCACUCUGCCACCUAGACUUGAACUUUAAAAAUAAUUUAAGAAAGCAUUGUUUUCAUUAAUGAAGAUUUAAUGUAAAUUUAUUAAAUAUGUUUUUAUACAAAAUGAAUAUGUUAUAUCUGGAUAAUUUCAGUUUUGUGUAGCCGUGUAUUAGGGCUUUUUCUAUUUUAUAAGCCUCUUUUUGUAUAGAGAAGUAGAAUUAAUCUGCACAAUGUAUUUUAUCUAGAUAAUCAUUUUCUUACUUUGAUGAAUUUACUACAUUGGAAAUAUCUACCCUGCUUUAGAAAUAUUAACGUUUGCUUUCUUUCUGCCUAAUUUUUGUAUAAUCUCUAAAUAUAAUAAAGUAAAAUAUUUCAUUUAUAGGCCCUUUGAAAGUAGAACAUUUUUAAAAGCAGGUAGGUGUCUCCACACUACUUUUCAUGAAGCGUUUUACCCAUUCAAGCAGACUUUUAAAAACAGCUUGUUUUGAUAGCAGACUUUUCUCCUGUGGGCCUUCAGCCUUUGCUUCCUGGCAGCACCUUUGGUGCGAAAAGAGAGUGAUCAAUUGGAAGACUAUCAGUGCCAGCAUGCAUAGAGUGAUAAGUUAACACACCACUGGGAAUUUCUAGGGCCCACCAAGAUACUUCACUUCUAAUGUGCUAACAAGCUCAUUUUUCUACCUCUUGCCUCUUCAGUUAUUUUUUUUCUCAGAAGAGCUUAGAAGUUGAGUGCAUCAGGCAUAAUGAAAAGCUCUGUAGGAGGGAGAAGCAAUAACCCCAUUUUUCCCUUUUCAGCCAAAUAGAAAAUUAGUUUCUGGUAAUACACAAAGGCCAGUAUUUUUUGUACAAGGGGCACUGCUGUGAAUCAAAGGACUCUAUUAACUGCAGAAAAUUCGGCAGCUGUGAAUCUCCCCCAAUGAAAAAAGUACUUUCCAACAAGUUGUGAGAUAUGUGGUAUUAUUUAGAUUGUACCAUCAGUUUCAUCCUCUUCCAUUUAUAACCAUAUACUCCUUUUAAAAGUGUGCUAUAUUACUCGUCUAUGUUAAGACUCAAAAAUGUCCACAUUAUCCUCAUGUAAAAUCUUUGAUGCUGAUCAUUUUAAUAUGCAUCUUUUCCUGUUGCUUCCCACCUCAGAAGUAAAAUUUUUUUGAAGUUCAUCCCCAGUGUACAGAAUGGAAAGUAAUAGAUUGCCAGGAAUUGGAAUUUAAGGUUAUUUUAAUAUUUGAUACAUAAGAUAAAUCAUAAUAUGAAAGCCACUUAGAGAGCAAAAGAUACCACAAUCAAAGUCAAGUGCGUAAUGAAUAUAGUCUAACCUUUAACUCCUACUUUUUUUUUUUCCUCUUCUUAGUAAACUCUUGUAAAUGUAACUAACUGGUCAUGGUAUCUCCCGUUGAAUUAUCAUUUAAAAUUAUCUUCCUCUCAAAUUAUUUUUUGGGGUCUUGUUGGCUUAGUCUACAAUUUCUAGAAUUUUACAACUAUAUAAUAAUUGACUGCAAUUUUUAAAAAAUAAGGAAUUUUGAGGGGAAAUAUUAAAGUGGACUUUGGAGGGAAAUUCAGUGGGCAAAAAAAGAAGAAUCAGUAGACAAAUGUUUAUUAUCCUUAUUUAAAUAUCUUAUGUAAAGCCUGUCAGCAUAGCACACUGAGUACCACAGGGAAACUUUUAAAAGUUUUAAAGGAAAGGUUAACUGAUUUCUCAGUUCAGGAACUAUACGACAUGAAGUCAGCAUGUGAGUUUUUCCUGAUAAUUGUAUGUUGCUGCCUGCUGCUCUACAUUUUGACAGCCAUUUCCAUAGUUGCUUUCGUGAACAACAGAAAUAUUCUCUCUCUUUCUCGCCCUCUCUGUGCUAACAGCACAAUCAGGCCUGCUAAAACAGGAAGCCUGGAGUGGGUUGUUCAAAAGCAACAACACUUCAAGGUAGUGGUUGCUUGUCAAUAAUAUCAGAGAAGAAAAUGUGGUGAAAGGGAACUUCAGUAUUUUUCUGUCAGUGUCAGUGCCCUGGAGAUGCUUUGUUAGACAGCAUUUAGGAGUCCUGUAGACUCUUUGCAAAUAUUCCUGCUUGUUUCAGUGUUAUAAUUGACUAGGUAUUUUUUCCCGGCAUACAGAUUCAGCUAUGUAUUUUUCUUAGCCGCAUGGAGUUAUUCGAGGAUUACAGCAACAGUAGCCUUCCAUUCAAAAUGAGAACAAUUGUUGAGAAAAUGCAGGGAUUUUAUAAAAAGAAGAUACGUAGGAAUUUUUCAUAAUAAAUCGUUACAAAUGAAAAACAAUUUUGGACAUAGUAUCUUAAGCAACAUUACAAUAUUUAUUGCAUGGCUUUUGAGAGUAAAUCUGCAGAUGGAACCUGAUUAACAAGAUAAGAUGAGCCUAGGCUGAUAGAAAUUUCAGCCUAGACUCCUGAUAGAAAUUGAAUCCUUUCUCAAAUAAACCAUCAACUUCAUUCAUUUCAUUAGUAUUACUGUAAUUAUUAUCUAAUAAAUGUCUCCCU
Cebus imitator (Panamanian white-faced capuchin) is the source of this 10520-nucleotide long non-coding RNA. RefSeq lists it as uncharacterized. The transcript is spliced from 2 exons. Lineage: Eukaryota; Metazoa; Chordata; Mammalia; Primates; Cebidae. The record is from RefSeq and is a predicted model, not a curated record.